This 598-nucleotide ribosomal RNA is filed under the name uncultured bacterium. Its description in RNAcentral is "bacterial SSU rRNA". The stretch from base 1 to 520 matches the Rfam family "Bacterial small subunit ribosomal RNA", at positions 338 to 873 of the family's 1533-position model. The record is from RNAcentral.
CCUACGGGAGGCAGCAGUGGGGAAUAUUGGGCAAUGGAGGAAACUCUGACCCAGCGACGCCGCGUGCGGGAUGAAGGCCUUCGGGUUGUAAACCGCUUUCAGCAGGGAAGAAGCGAAAGUGACGGUACCUGCAGAAGAAGCACCGGCUAACUAUGUGCCAGCAGCCGCGGUAAUACAUAGGGUGCAAGCGUUGUCCGGAAUUAUUGGGCGUAAAGAGCUCGUAGGUGGUUCGUCACGUCGGAUGUGAAAAUCUGGGGCUUAACCCCAGACCUGCAUUCGAUACGGGCGAGCUUGAGUAUGGUAGGGGAGUCUGGAAUUCCUGGUGUAGCGGUGGAAUGCGCAGAUAUCAGGAGGAACACCAAUGGCGAAGGCAGGACUCUGGGCCAUUACUGACACUGAGGAGCGAAAGCGUGGGGAGCGAACAGGAUUAGAUACCCUGGUAGUCCACGCCGUAAACGGUGGGCACUAGUUGUGGGGACCUUCCACGGUCUCUGCGACGCNGCUACGCAUAGUGCCCGCCGUCGGGAGGUACGACCGCGAGAUAACUACAAGAGAGUAGACGNGNGAGACGCGACGACGACGACGACGGAGGGAGGAG